AGCUCCAAUAGCGUAUAUUAAAGCUGUUGCAGUUAAAACGCUCGUAGUUGAAAGUCUGUCAGUGAGGAUCAGUUAUCUCAUUUGAGUAUGUACUUAUUGUCAUUGGCAUCAAUUUGGUGUAUUCAAUGGGUAAAACUGUUGAAUUACCAAGGUGUUACUUUGAGAAAAUUAGAGUGUUUCAAGCAGGCGUGCUAUGUCUUGAAUACUCCAGCAUAGAAUAACAGAUGAGGACUCAAGUCCUUUUUGUUGGUUUAAGGGCUUAAGUAAUGAUUAAGAGGAGCAGUUGGGGGCAUUCGUACUCAGUCGUCAGAGGUGAAAUUCUUAGAUUGACUGAAGACGAACUACUGCGAAGGCAUCUGCCAAGGAUGUUUUCA
RNAcentral lists this ribosomal RNA (374 nucleotides) under uncultured eukaryote. Its description in RNAcentral is "SSU rRNA". It matches the Rfam family "Eukaryotic small subunit ribosomal RNA", at positions 587 to 972 of the family's 1831-position model. The record is from RNAcentral.